GCAGAUGUGACCAAGAGUUUUCAGAAAGGUGAGAUUCUGAGGGGUUUUAUUCUUUCAUUCCUCUGGCCGGAGAAAGCUCAGAUGACGAGGGUUUCAUGAACGGUGCGGUCUGGCUCGGAGCGUCUUCUGAGUCUUGGUUCAGGGAUCCAGAUGGAACCAGCGUGAACCUGCGGGCCGCAGCGAGUGUCUCUGGAGGGAAAAUGUUCCACUGAUUUUCGUUCCUGCAACCUCAAA
Long non-coding RNA from Sinocyclocheilus rhinocerous, 234 nucleotides. RefSeq lists it as uncharacterized. Lineage: Eukaryota; Metazoa; Chordata; Actinopteri; Cypriniformes; Cyprinidae. The transcript is spliced from 4 exons. The record is from RefSeq and is a predicted model, not a curated record.